GGAACUGUCAGGCUAGAGUGCAGGAGAGGAAGGUAGAAUUCCCGGUGUAGCGGUGAAAUGCGUAGAGAUCGGGAGGAAUACCAGUGGCGAAGGCGGCCUUCUGGACUGACACUGACAGUGAGGUGCGAAAGCGUGGGUAGCAAACAGGAUUAGAUACCCUGGUAGUCCACGCCGUAAACGAUGUCGACCAGCCGUUGGGUGCCUAGAGCACUUUGUGGCGAAGUUAACGCGAUAAGUCGACCGCCUGGGGAGUACGGCCGCAAGGUUAAAACUCAAAUGAAUUGACGGGGGCCCGCACAAGCGGUGGAGCAUGUGGUUUAAUUCGAUGCAACGCGAAGAACCUUACCUACCCUUGACAUCUACAGAAGCCGGAAGAGAUUCUGGUGUGCCUUCGGGAACUGUAAGACAGGUGCUGCAUGGCUGUCGUCAGCUCGUGUUGUGAAAUGUUGGGUUAAGUCCCGUAACGAGCGCAACCCUUGUCCUUAUUUGCCAGCGAGUAAUGUCGGGAACUCUAAGGAGACUGCCGGUGACAAACCGGAGGAAGGUGGGGACGACGUCAAGUCAUCAUGGCCCUUACGGGUAGGGCUACACACGUGCUACAAUGGCCGGUACAAAGGGCUGCGAGCUCGCGAGAGUCAGCGAAUCCCUUAAAGCCGGUUUCAGUCCGGAUCGGAGUCUGCAACUCGACUCCGUGAAGUCGGAAUCGCUAGUAAUCGUGAAUCAGAAUGUCACGGUGAAUACGUUCCCGGGCCUUGUACACACCGCCCGUCACACCAUGGGAGUGGACUGCACCAGAAGUG
Molecule: ribosomal RNA, 800 nt
Rfam family: Bacterial small subunit ribosomal RNA